GUUGCAAACAAAAUGGCCGCAAAAACAAUUUUUUUAGAUGUUAUGUGCCACUUUUUAAUGGAUUACGGGCUACAUAAAUCUUAUCUUAUGGUUCCGAUAAAUUCAGAUGAACCCCAGAUAAGAUGGCCUGCGCGUCUAUUAGGGCAUGAGCGUCAAUAAGGACAUAUACACAUCAGAUGAUCCAGGGGAGGCAACCUGGAAGGCACUGUCCAGGGCCGAGUAGUCCACAGUUAUCUUCCCCAGAGAUAAGAAAACCUUGAUAAAUACCAACUAUGCCCAUAAGUGUGAAGUGUUUUUCACAGUAUAGGAAGCAGAUUAAGGACUGUUAGGUUGACAACAAUAACAAUCAAAAAGGUAAGUAUUGAUUUAAUCAGUGUGAUCUAUAAAUGCUAUAAAAACUUUUAAGAUUGAUUGGUCCUAGAUAAAUGUGACAUAUUUUUUCUAUUUCACUCGUCAAAAAGUCAAGAUCAAGUGUAAUGCAUAGUGAAAGCAUUCUGGGUACUAUGUAGAAGGUCAUAUGCAAGAACACAUUUAUAUUAUUUAUAUGCUACAAAUAAUUAAAUUGAUACAAAUGAAUAGAUAACUAUUAUCUUAAUAUUAUGUCAUUU
This is a long non-coding RNA of Dreissena polymorpha, 608 nucleotides long. RefSeq lists it as uncharacterized. Lineage: Eukaryota; Metazoa; Mollusca; Bivalvia; Myida; Dreissenidae. The transcript has 3 exons. The record is from RefSeq and is a predicted model, not a curated record.